ACGCACGCUGGCGGCGUGCUUCACCCCUGCCAGUCGAACGGAAAGGCCCUGCUUUUGUGGGGUGCUCGAGUGGCGAACGGGUGAGUAACACGUGAGUAACCUGCCCUUGACUUUGGGAUAACUUCAGGAAACUGGGGCUAAUACCGGAUAGGAGCUCCUGCUGCAUGGUGGGGGUUGGAAAGUUUCGGCGGUUGGGGAUGGACUCGCAGCUUAUCAGCUUGUUGGUGGGGUAGUGGCUUACCAAGGCUUUGACGGGUAGCCGGCCUGAGAGGGUGACCGGCCACAUUGGGACUGAGAUACGGCCCAGACUCCUACGGGAGGCAGCAGUGGGGAAUAUUGCACAAUGGGCGGAAGCCUGAUGCAGCAACGCCGCGUGCGGGAUGACGGCCUUCGGGUUGUAAACCGCUUUCGCCUGUGACGAAGCGUGAGUGACGGUAAUGGGUAAAGAAGCACCGGCUAACUACGUG
RNAcentral lists this ribosomal RNA (467 nucleotides) under uncultured bacterium. Its description in RNAcentral is "partial 16S ribosomal RNA". It matches the Rfam family "Bacterial small subunit ribosomal RNA", at positions 29 to 507 of the family's 1533-position model. The record is from RNAcentral.